UACGUAGGGUGCAAGCGUUAAUCGGAAUUACUGGGCGUAAAGCGUGCGCAGGCGGUUUUGUAAGCCAGACGUGAAAUCCCCGGGCUUAACCUGGGAACUGCGUUUGGAACUGCAAGGCUAGAGUGCGGCAGAGGAAGGUGGAAUUCCUGGUGUAGCAGUGAAAUGCGUAGAUAUCAGGAGGAACACCAAUGGCGAAGGCAGCCUUCUGGGCUAGCACUGACGCUCAUGCACGAAAGCGUGGGGAGCAAACAGGAUUAGAUACCCUGGUAGUCCACGCCCUAAACUAUGACGACUAGUUGUUGGGGAUUUAACAUCCUUAGUAACGCAGCUAACGCGUGAAGUCGUCCGCCUGGGGAGUACGGUCGCAAGAUUA
RNAcentral lists this ribosomal RNA (373 nucleotides) under uncultured prokaryote. RNAcentral describes it as "bacterial SSU rRNA". It matches the Rfam family "Bacterial small subunit ribosomal RNA", at positions 524 to 896 of the family's 1533-position model. The record is from RNAcentral.